CCUACGGGAGGCAGCAGUGAGGAAUAUUGGUCAAUGGGCGGGAGCCUGAACCAGCCAAGUCGCGUGAGGGAAGACGGUCCUAUGGAUUGUAAACCUCUUUAGGCGGGGAGCAAUGCCGGGCACGCGUGCCCGGAGGGAGAGUACCCGCAGAAUAAGCAUCGGCUAACUCCGUGCCAGCAGCCGCGGUAAUACGGAGGAUGCGAGCGUUAUCCGGAUUUAGUGGGUUUAAAGGGUGCGUAGGCGGAUUUUUAAGUCAGCGGUAAAAUGUCCGGGCUCAACCCGGGCCGGCCGUUGAAACUGGGGAUCUUGAUUGGGAGAGAAGUAUGCGAAAUGCGGGGUGUAGCGGUGAAAGGCAUAGAUAUCACGCAGAACUCCGAUUGCGAAGGCAGCAUACCGGCGCCCGACUGACGCUGAGGCACGAAAGCGUGGGGAUCGAACAGGAUUAGAGACCCUAGUAGUC
This 460-nucleotide ribosomal RNA is filed under the name uncultured bacterium. RNAcentral describes it as "partial 16S ribosomal RNA". It matches the Rfam family "Bacterial small subunit ribosomal RNA", at positions 338 to 795 of the family's 1533-position model. The record is from RNAcentral.